GCAUCGGUGGGGUAUUGGAAACCCGCAGCCAGUGGAUACUGUGCCAGCCGUACAGGGUUAUGGCUGAGCUCGGGGUUCGACUCCCCGUCGAUGCG
Molecule: non-coding RNA, 95 nt
Organism: Mycena rosella
Lineage: Eukaryota; Fungi; Basidiomycota; Agaricomycetes; Agaricales; Mycenaceae
Source: the annotation of a GenBank genome assembly